UAAGCUGCUCUAGUAGGAGAUUGAAGGGAAGGCUGGAGAUGGUCUGGGCAGCACUGAGAGAGGUAAGGGGAAAAGCCAAGGUGGCUAGAGAAGCUGCUUUCAUGAGCCUUUGUGGAGGCUUGGGCCUGAUACUGAAUCCAAACUGGGAAGGUUGAGAGACCCCGACUCACUCAGGGGAAUCUGGGACAGUGGCUAGACUGAAGCCAGCCUGGCUCGGCAGUGCUGCAACAAGGCCUCUUUGCUUUCCUUAAGAACAUGCUGCCACCCACAUGGAAAGCAUCAGAGAAGAGUAAACCAGAAAUAAAACCAUUCCAGGGGGAUGGAGA
Chelonia mydas (Green sea turtle) is the source of this 326-nucleotide long non-coding RNA. RefSeq lists it as uncharacterized. The transcript is spliced from 2 exons. Lineage: Eukaryota; Metazoa; Chordata; Testudines; Cheloniidae. The record is from RefSeq and is a predicted model, not a curated record.